RNAcentral lists this ribosomal RNA (412 nucleotides) under unidentified archaeon. Its description in RNAcentral is "bacterial SSU rRNA". It matches the Rfam family "Archaeal small subunit ribosomal RNA", at positions 642 to 1053 of the family's 1478-position model. The record is from RNAcentral.
GUAAUCCUUGAAGGACCACCAGUGGCGAAGGCGUCUCACCAGAACGGACCUGACGGCAAGGGACGAAAGCUGGGGGAGCAAACCGGAUUAGAUACCCGGGUAGUCCUAGCCGUAAACGAUACUCGCUAGGUGUCGGCCACGGUGCGACCGUUGUCGGUGCCGUAGGGAAGCCGUGAAGCGAGCCACCUGGGAAGUACGGCCGCAAGGCUGAAACUUAAAGGAAUUGGCGGGGGAGCACCACAACGGGUGGAGCUUGCGGUUUAAUUGGAUUCAACGCCGGAAAUCUUACCGGGACCGACAGCAUUAUGAAGGCCAGGCUGAAGACUUUGCCGGAUUAGCUGAGAGGUGGUGCAUGGCCGUCGUCAGUUCGUACUGUGAAGCAUCCUGUUAAGUCAGGUAACGAGCGAGACCC